GAUGAAGAACGUAGCGAAAUGCGAUACUUGGUGUGAAUUGCAGAAUCCCGUGAACCAUCGAGUCUUUGAACGCAAGUUGCGCCCGAAGCCAUCAGGUUGAGGGCACGUCUGCCUGGGCGUCACAUAUCGUUGCCCAAUGCCUAUUGCAGUGCAAUAGGAAUUUCUAGGGCGAAUGAUGGCUUCCCGUGAGCGUUGUUGCCUCGCGGUUGGUUGAAAAUCGAGUCCUUGGUAGGGUGUGCCAUGGUAGAUGGUGGUCGAGUUAGAACGAUACCGAUCAUGUGCAUGCUCCCCAAAAUAUGGCCUCUAUGACCCACACGCGUCUUUUGACGCUCAUCACGAGACCUCAGGUCAGGCGGGGCUAACCGCUGAAUUUAAGCAUAUCAAUAAGCGGAGGA
This 395-nucleotide unclassified non-coding RNA is filed under the name soil metagenome. RNAcentral describes it as "partial contains 5.8S ribosomal RNA, internal transcribed spacer 2, and large subunit ribosomal RNA". The stretch from base 1 to 122 matches the Rfam family "5.8S ribosomal RNA", at positions 35 to 154 of the family's 154-position model. The record is from RNAcentral.